RNAcentral lists this ribosomal RNA (253 nucleotides) under uncultured bacterium. RNAcentral's name for it is "partial 16S ribosomal RNA". It matches the Rfam family "Bacterial small subunit ribosomal RNA", at positions 524 to 776 of the family's 1533-position model. The record is from RNAcentral.
UACGAACUGUGCAAACGUUAUUCGGAAUCACUGGGCUUAAAGCGUGUGUAGGCGGACUUCUAAGUACCUUGUGAAAUCCCACGGCUCACCCGUGGAACUGCUUGGUAUACUGGUCGUCUUGAGCCUUCUAGGGGCGAGUGGAACAAAUGGUGGAGCGGUGAAAUGCGUAGAUAUCAUUUGGAACGCCAAUGGUGAAAACAACUCGCUGGGGAAGUGCUGACGCUGAGACACGAAAGCCAGGGGAGCGAACGGG